GAAGACGAGAGUAAGGCGUAGGCAUCUGUCCAUGGGUGGGGGAUAACUCCGGGAAACUGGAGCUAAUACCGCAUGACACCUGAGGGUCAAAGGCGCGAGUCGCCUGUGGAGGAACCUGCGUUCGAUUAGCUAGUUGGUGGGGUAACUGCCUACCAAGGCGAUGAUCGAUAGCUGGUCUGAGAGGAUGAUCAGCCACACUGGGACUGAGACACGGCCCAGACUCCUACGGGAGGCAGCAGUGGGGAAUAUUGGACAAUGGGCGCAAGCCUGAUCCAGCAAUGCCGCGUGUGUGAAGAAGGUCUUCGGAUUGUAAAGCACUUUCGACGGGGACGAUGAUGACGGUACCCGUAGAAGAAGCCCCGGCUAACUUCGUGCCAGCAGCCGCGGUAAUACGAAGGGGGCUAGCGUUGCUCGGAAUGACUGGGCGUAAAGGGCGCGUAGGCGGUUUGGACAGUCAGAUGUGAAAUUCCUGGGCUUAACCUGGGGGCUGCAUUUGAUACGUACAGACUAGAGUGUGAGAGAGGGUUGUGGAAUUCCCAGUGUAGAGGUGAAAUUCGUAGAUAUUGGGAAGAACACCGGUGGCGAAGGCGGCAACCUGGCUCAUAACUGACGCUGAGGCGCGAAAGCGUGGGGAGCAAACAGGAUUAGAAC
RNAcentral lists this ribosomal RNA (651 nucleotides) under Gluconacetobacter diazotrophicus. Its description in RNAcentral is "bacterial SSU rRNA". It matches the Rfam family "Bacterial small subunit ribosomal RNA", at positions 100 to 784 of the family's 1533-position model. The record is from RNAcentral. Lineage: Bacteria; Pseudomonadati; Pseudomonadota; Alphaproteobacteria; Acetobacterales; Acetobacteraceae.